ACCCCGGGUGUUGCCUAGUAACGGCGAGUGAAGCGGCAACAGCUCAAAUUUGAAAUCUGGCUCCUCGCGGGCCCGAGUUGUAAUUUGUAGAGGAAGCUUUUGGCGCGGCACCUACUGAGUCCCCUGGAACGGGGCGCCAUAGAGGGUGAGAGCCCCGUAUAGUGGGAUGCCUAGCCUUUGUAAAGCUCCUUCGACGAGUCGAGUUGUUUGGGAAUAA
Molecule: ribosomal RNA, 217 nt
Filed under: uncultured Cercophora
Lineage: Eukaryota; Fungi; Ascomycota; Sordariomycetes; Sordariales; Lasiosphaeriaceae
Description: partial 28S ribosomal RNA
Rfam family: Eukaryotic large subunit ribosomal RNA
Source: RNAcentral